RNAcentral lists this ribosomal RNA (490 nucleotides) under uncultured bacterium. RNAcentral's name for it is "partial 16S ribosomal RNA". It matches the Rfam family "Bacterial small subunit ribosomal RNA", at positions 30 to 507 of the family's 1533-position model. The record is from RNAcentral.
AUUGAACGCUGGCGGCAGGCCUAACACAUGCAAGUCGAACGGUAACAGGAAACAGCUUGCUGUUUCGCUGACGAGUGGCGGACGGGUGAGUAAUGUCUGGGAAACUGCCUGAUGGAGGGGGAUAACUACUGGAAACGGUAGCUAAUACCGCAUAACGUCGCAAGACCAAAGAGGGGGACCCUCGGGCCUCUUGCCAUCGGCUGUGCCCAGAUGGGAUGAGCUUGUUGGUGGGGUAACGGCUCACCAAGGCGACGAUCCCUAGCUGGUCUGAGAGGAUGACCAGCCACACUGGAACUGAGACACGGUCCAGACUCCUACGGGAGGCAGCAGUGGGGAAUAUUGCACAAUGGGCGCAAGCCUGAUGCAGCCAUGCCGCGUGUAUGAAGAAGGCCUUCGGAUUGUAAAGUACUUUCAGCGGGGAGGAAGGGAGUAAAGUUAAUACCUUUGCUCAUUGACGUUACCCGCAGAAGAAGCACCGGCUAACUCCGUG